This 345-nucleotide ribosomal RNA is filed under the name uncultured bacterium. RNAcentral describes it as "bacterial SSU rRNA". It matches the Rfam family "Bacterial small subunit ribosomal RNA", at positions 151 to 507 of the family's 1533-position model. The record is from RNAcentral.
AGAAAACGAGGGGGCCCCCCGCAUGGGGGAUUAUUUGUUAAAAGAUACAUCGCUGAUAGAUAGGCAUGCGUUCCAUUAGGUAGUUGGCGGGGGCAACGGCCCACCAAGCCGACGAUGGAUAGGGGUUCUGAGAGGAAGGUCCCCCACACUGGUACUGAGACACGGACCAGACUCCUACGGGAGGCAGCAGUGAGGAAUAUUGGUCAAUGGGCGAGAGCCUGAACCAGCCAAGUCGCGUGAGGGACGACGGCCCUACGGGUUGUAAACCUCUUUUAUAAGGGAAUAAAGAUGGGGUCGUGACCCCAGUUGCAUGUACCUUAUGAAUAAGCAUCGGCUAACUCCGUG